UGGGGAAUAUUGCACAAUGGGCGCAAGCCUGAUGCAGCCAUGCCGCGUGUAUGAAGAAGGCCUUCGGGUUGUAAAGUACUUUCAGCGGGGAGGAAGGGAGUAAAGUUAAUACCUUUGCUCAUUGACGUUACCCGCAGAAGAAGCACCGGCUAACUCCGUGCCAGCAGCCGCGGUAAUACGGAGGGUGCAAGCGUUAAUCGGAAUUACUGGGCGUAAAGCGCACGCAGGCGGUUUGUUAAGUCAGAUGUGAAAUCCCCGGGCUCAACCUGGGAACUGCCUCUGAUACUGGCAAGCUUGAGUCUCGGAGAGGGGGGUAGAAUUCCAGGUGUAGCGGUGAAAUGCGUAGAGAUCUGGAGGAAUACCGGUGGCGAAGGCGGCCCCCUGGACGAAGACUGACGCUCAGGUGCGAAAGCGUGGGGAGCAAACAGG
This 429-nucleotide ribosomal RNA is filed under the name Chloroflexota bacterium. RNAcentral's name for it is "Chloroflexi bacterium partial 16S ribosomal RNA". It matches the Rfam family "Bacterial small subunit ribosomal RNA", at positions 355 to 776 of the family's 1533-position model. Lineage: Bacteria; Bacillati; Chloroflexota. The record is from RNAcentral.